AGAGCGAACGCUGGCGGCAGGCCUAAUACAUGCAAGUCGAACGGCUCUUCGGAGCAGUGGCGGACGGGUGAGUAACGCGUGGGAAUGUGCCCUUUGGUACGGAACAACUGAGGGAAACUUCAGCUAAUACCGUAUGUGCCCUUCGGGGGAAAGAUUUAUUGCCAUUGGAGCAGCCCGCGUUGGAUUAGCUAGUUGGUGGGGUAAAGGCCCACCAAGGCGACGAUCCAUAGCUGGUCUGAGAGGAUGAUCAGCCACACUGGGACUGAGACACGGCCCAGACUCCUACGGGAGGCAGCAGUAGGGAAUCUUGCGCAAUGGGCGAAAGCCUGACGCAGCCAUGCCGCGUGAAUGAUGAAGGUCUUAGAUUGUAAAAUUCUUCGACCGGGAAGAUAAUGACGGUACCGGAGAAGAACGCCCGGACAACUUCGUGCCAGCAGCCGC
This 441-nucleotide ribosomal RNA is filed under the name uncultured soil bacterium. RNAcentral describes it as "bacterial SSU rRNA". It matches the Rfam family "Bacterial small subunit ribosomal RNA", at positions 26 to 518 of the family's 1533-position model. The record is from RNAcentral.